Acanthosepion pharaonis is the source of this 112-nucleotide non-coding RNA. NCBI's taxonomy places the organism in Eukaryota, Metazoa, Mollusca, Cephalopoda, Sepiida, Sepiidae. The record is from the annotation of a GenBank genome assembly.
UACGGCCUUAUUAUGUUGCAACACUGGCUCUCGUACUAUCACCGAAGUUAAGCAACGUAGAGUCUGGUUAGUACCCAGAUGGGUGACUGCUUGGGAAUGCCAGGUUUUGUAA